Molecule: non-coding RNA, 287 nt
Organism: Dermacentor albipictus
Lineage: Eukaryota; Metazoa; Arthropoda; Arachnida; Ixodida; Ixodidae
Source: RefSeq, a predicted model, not a curated record
AUCGGACAACUAGUUCUUAUUAACAGCGUAAGGACACAGGAAAGGACGGAAACGAAGACAGGAUGUUCUUGCGCUCUUCGUAGCCGCCGGAGCGGCGUGUCAACGAUAUGUGGUGUGACUCCGGUCCGGCGUGGGAUGGGACAAAGAAACGAGAUAGCAGAAGAGGAUAAAGGGAAGAGGAAUGCUGCAUCGGUGGCGGCUACAUCACGUACAAGGAGGCUGUCUGGGAGACGUUGAGGACGGACUCGUCUGACGGCCAGGACGCAUACCGUCACGCUUGUGGACUG